CUAAAACUUCACAUUGAUAAAAUUACAGCCGUCUAAUGUACUAUAAAACGGUGGGCAUUUACGAGUAACAAGUAAGUAAAGCAAUAGCAAUACUGAAACUUAAAAAAAACUUAAAAAUGAAGUUCCUUCUUUAUACUCUUGUGCUCGUAUUGGUGGCCAUUCAGGUAGUCUACUGCGAUGAUUGCAUUUGCCUUGUUCCAAAAGGCCCAUGCCCGUAUGGUUCAAAGGCGAGCGGAGCAUGUAGCAACAAUCGCAAGGGAGGAGUAUCGUGCUGCCCGGCCGGUGCCCCCGACCAAUAAUAAUGCACAUCACCUGCCUUCCUUCUUUAGAAGAUUACAAUAUGAUGGGGUAAAUAAAUUGUAACCCCAGACAAAUAAAGUGUAUUAAAUAAAGAAGUUUACUGCAAA
This is a long non-coding RNA of Photinus pyralis (common eastern firefly), 407 nucleotides long. RefSeq lists it as uncharacterized. NCBI's taxonomy places the organism in Eukaryota, Metazoa, Arthropoda, Insecta, Coleoptera, Lampyridae. The transcript is spliced from 2 exons. The record is from RefSeq and is a predicted model, not a curated record.